This 463-nucleotide ribosomal RNA is filed under the name uncultured bacterium. RNAcentral describes it as "partial 16S ribosomal RNA". It matches the Rfam family "Bacterial small subunit ribosomal RNA", at positions 28 to 507 of the family's 1533-position model. The record is from RNAcentral.
GAUGAACGCUGACAGAAUGCUUAACACAUGCAAGUCUUUGGCGAAGCUGUGCUCGCCCAGCCUAGCCAAGGCGGACGGGUGAGUAACGCGUAAGGAACUUGCCCUGCAGUCAGGGAUAACAGACGGAAACGACUGAUAAGACCUGGUAAAGUCAGGCGGACUCAUGUCCAGCCUGAUGAAAAGAGAUGCUGCAGGAGAGCCUUGCGUCCUAUUAGCUUGUUGGUGGGGUAACGGCCCACCAAGGCGAUGAUAGGUAGCCGGCCUGAGAGGGUGGACGGCCACAAGGGGACUGAGAUACGGCCCUUACUCCUACGGGAGGCAGCAGUGGGGAAUAUUGGACAAUGGGGGAAACCCUGAUCCAGCAAUUCUGUGUGCACGAUGAAGGUUUUCGGAUUGUAAAGUGCUUUCAGCAGGGAAGAAAAAAAUGACGGUACCUGCAGAAGAAGCGACGGCUAAAUACGUG